GCAUCAUGAUUUAGCCAGCAAACCUGAGCGAAGAGAACUUUAGUUCAGGCCCCCGAAACUAGACGAGCUACUCCGGGACAGCCUAUUAUAGGGCUAACCCGUCUCUGUGGCAAAAGAGUGGGACGAGCCCCGAGUAGAGGUGAUAAACCUAUCGAGCCUAGUUAUAGCUGGUUGCUUAGGAAAUGAAUAGAAGUUCAGCCCCCCGGCUUUCUUAGGACCUUAAAGUAAAACUAAUAUUGUCCCAAAGAAACCAGAAGAGUUAGUCAAAGGAGGUACAGCUCCUUUGAACAAGGACACAACCUUAACAGGCGGCUAAGGAUCAUAAUUAAUAAGGUAACCUGUUACAGUGGGCCUAAGAGCAGCCACCUGCACAGAAAGCGUUAAAGCUCAGACAGAUAUAAACCUCUUAUCCUGAUAACAAAUCCCACCCCCCUAACCGUACUAAGCCGUUCCAUGCCUCCAUGGAAGAGAUUAUGCUAGAAUGAGUAAUAAGAGAGAACAACUCUCUCCCAGCACAUGUGUAAGUCGGAUCGGACCCACCACCGACAAAUAACGAACCCAAACCAAGAGGGGACUGUAGGCCAGAAUAAACACCGAGGAAAAUCUACACCAACGAAUCGUUAACCCCACACAGGAGUGCCCCCAGGGAAAGACCCAAAGGAAGAGAAGGAACUCGGCAAACACAAGCCUCGCCUGUUUACCAAAAACAUCGCCUCUUGCAAAUCAAAGCAUAAGAGGUCCCGCCUGCCCUGUGACUAUGGGUUUAACGGCCGCGGUAUUUUGACCGUGCGAAGGUAGCGCAAUCACUUGUCUUUUAAAUGAAGACCUGUAUGAAUGGCAUCACGAGGGCUUAGCUGUCUCCUCUUCCAAGUCAAUGAAAUUGAUCUGUCCGUGCAGAAGCGGACAUAAGCACAUAAGACGAGAAGACCCUAUGGAGCUUUAGACACCAGGCAGAUCACGUCAAACAACCUUAAAUUAACAAGUAAAAACGCAGUGACCCCUAGCCCAUAUGUCUUUGGUUGGGGCGACCGCGGGGGAAAAUUAAGCCCCCAUGUGGACUGGGGGCACUGCCCCCACAGCCAAGAGCUACAGCUCUAAGCACCAGAAUAUCUGACCAAAAAUGAUCCGGCAAACGCCGAUCAACGGACCGAGUUACCCUAGGGAUAACAGCGCAAUCCUCUCCCAGAGUCCCUAUCGACGAGGGGGUUUACGACCUCGAUGUUGGAUCAGGACAUCCUAAUGGUGCAGCCGCUA
This 1254-nucleotide ribosomal RNA is filed under the name Oncorhynchus biwaensis (Biwa salmon). RNAcentral describes it as "partial 16S ribosomal RNA". It matches the Rfam family "Bacterial large subunit ribosomal RNA", at positions 610 to 2564 of the family's 2925-position model. Lineage: Eukaryota; Metazoa; Chordata; Actinopteri; Salmoniformes; Salmonidae. The record is from RNAcentral.